RNAcentral lists this long non-coding RNA (344 nucleotides) under Theobroma cacao (cacao). Its description in RNAcentral is "long non-coding RNA (TCAC_LNC000836)". Lineage: Eukaryota; Viridiplantae; Streptophyta; Magnoliopsida; Malvales; Malvaceae. The record is from RNAcentral.
UCAAAAGCGCAAUGAUAUAUACAACAAAGCAACUCAUCACAAUAAGCACAUAAUCCCGUACGUUAAUCAACUCAUAAAUACUUUGAAGUACCAGCAUUUCGAUUGUUAUCAACCUGUGCGUAAACAAGAGUGUCAGAGUUGGAGUUUGACAGAAUCACCUCCGGCUGCAUCCACAUAAGGCUUUGCUCCGUUUGAACCCCAUCCUUAGCCAGCGUGUCUGCAGCAUCAUUGGCAAACUUGGGUAUGCGCUUGAUGUGCCACUCUUGGACCUUAGAAAGAAGCUUGGAGACAUACCUAACGUGGGGUCCUUUUCUCCGAGGUACGUCGGUCGGAUUGAGGAUCCA